GUGCUCACUUCAGUAGCAUAUGUACUAAAACUAAAACAAUACAGAGAAUAGCAUAGCAUGGCCUCUGCACAAGGAUCACAUGCAAAUUUGAGAAGUGUUCCAUAGGUUU
Lynx canadensis (Canada lynx) is the source of this 109-nucleotide small nuclear RNA. NCBI's taxonomy places the organism in Eukaryota, Metazoa, Chordata, Mammalia, Carnivora, Felidae. The record is from Ensembl.